AAGUCGUAACAAGGUUUCCGUAGGUGAACCUGCGGAAGGAUCAUUACAAAACAAAAUCCAAAUCAACACCAAUGUGCUCUUAACUGCAAAAGGUCUUUGUGUGUGAGUGAGUUUAAACGUUUGUGUAAGAAUGUUUUGCGUGCGUGGCGCAAAACAAAAUGAAAAAAAACUCGCAAAGCUGUGGGGGUGAGAAAUCGCUGCCUGCCUUUUUGUGUGUUUUUUUGAUUUUCUUUCUUACACACACACACACACACACACAAACUUUUGCUUGUCUUUGUUUUCAAUUUUUUCUUAAACUCCUUGUUCAACAAACAAUGGAUUACAAUGUUAAAACUUGAAACAAAAAACAAAAACAAAAUGACAACUUUUAACGGUGGAUCUCUUGGCUCGU
This 391-nucleotide unclassified non-coding RNA is filed under the name fungal sp. Its description in RNAcentral is "partial internal transcribed spacer region". The stretch from base 1 to 46 matches the Rfam family "Eukaryotic small subunit ribosomal RNA", at positions 1786 to 1831 of the family's 1831-position model. Lineage: Eukaryota; Fungi. The record is from RNAcentral.